CCUACGGGUGGCUGCAGUCGAGAAUCAUUCACAAUGGGGGAAACCCUGAUGGUGCGACGCCGCGUGGGGGAAUGAAGGUCUUCGGAUUGUAAACCCCUGUCAUGUGGGAGCAAAUUAAAAAGAUAGUACCACAAGAGGAAGAGACGGCUAACUCUGUGCCAGCAGCCGCGGUAAUACAGAGGUCUCAAGCGUUGUUCGGAAUCACUGGGCGUAAAGCGUGCGUAGGCUGUUUCGUAAGUCGUGUGUGAAAGGCGCGGGCUCAACCCGCGGACGGCACAUGAUACUGCGAGACUAGAGUAAGGGAGGGGGAACCGGAAUGCUCGGUGUAGCAGUGAAAUGCGUAGAUAUCGAGCGGAACACUCGUGGCGAAGGCGGGUUCCUGGACACUCACUGACGCUGAGGCACGAAGGCCAGGGGAGCGAAAGGGAUUAGAUACCCGAGUAGUC
This 446-nucleotide ribosomal RNA is filed under the name uncultured bacterium. Its description in RNAcentral is "partial 16S ribosomal RNA". It matches the Rfam family "Bacterial small subunit ribosomal RNA", at positions 338 to 795 of the family's 1533-position model. The record is from RNAcentral.